RNAcentral lists this ribosomal RNA (305 nucleotides) under uncultured bacterium. RNAcentral's name for it is "partial 16S ribosomal RNA". It matches the Rfam family "Bacterial small subunit ribosomal RNA", at positions 505 to 807 of the family's 1533-position model. The record is from RNAcentral.
ACAGCAGCAGCCGCGGUAAUACGAAGGGGGCUAGCGUUGUUCGGAAUUACUGGGCGUAAAGCGCACGUAGGCGGACAUUUAAGUCAGGGGUGAAAUCCCGGGGCUCAACCCCGGAACUGCCUUUGAUACUGGGUGUCUAGAGUAUGGAAGAGGUGAGUGGAAUUCCGAGUGUAGAGGUGAAAUUCGUAGAUAUUCGGAGGAACACCAGUGGCGAAGGCGGCUCACUGGUCCAUUACUGACGCUGAGGUGCGAAAGCGUGGGGAGCAAACAGGAUUAGAUACCCCCGUAGUCCCUGUCUCUUAUAC